This 280-nucleotide ribosomal RNA is filed under the name uncultured prokaryote. Its description in RNAcentral is "partial 16S ribosomal RNA". It matches the Rfam family "Bacterial small subunit ribosomal RNA", at positions 524 to 803 of the family's 1533-position model. The record is from RNAcentral.
UACGUAGGGGCUAGCGUUAUCCGGAAUUACUGGGCGUAAAGGGUGCGUAGGUGGUUUCUUAAGUCAGAGGUGAAAGGCUACGGCUCAACCGUAGUAAGCCUUUGAAACUGGGAAACUUGAGUGCAGGAGAGGAGAGUGGAAUUCCUAGUGUAGCGGUGAAAUGCGUAGAUAUUAGGAGGAACACCGGUGGCGAAGGCGACUUGCUGGGCAGCAACUGACGCUGAGGCGCGAAAGCCAGGGGAGCAAACGGGAUUAGAUACCCGUGUAGUCCCUGAGCGGG